Molecule: ribosomal RNA, 393 nt
Filed under: uncultured bacterium
Lineage: Bacteria
Description: bacterial SSU rRNA
Rfam family: Bacterial small subunit ribosomal RNA
Source: RNAcentral
AACGAACGCUGGCGGCGCGCCUAAUACAUGCAAGUCGAGCGAGAAGACGUAGCAAUACGUUUGUAAAGCGGCGAACGGGUGAGGAAUACAUGGGUAACCUACCCUCGAGUGGGGAAGUAACUAGCCGAAGGUUAGCUAAUACCGCGUACGCUCCUUGGACUUCGGUUCAGGGAGGAAAGCGAUACCGUGGGUAUCGCGCUCUUGGAUGGGCUCAUGUCCUAUCAGCUUGUUGGUGAGGUAACGGCUCACCAAGGCUUCGACGGGUAGCUGGUCUGAGAGGACGAUCAGCCACACUGGCACUGCGACACGGGCCAGACUCCUACGGAGGCAGCAGUAAGGAAUAUUGCGCAAUGGGCGAAAGCCUGACGCAGCGACGCCGCGUGGGGGAGUGAA